This 333-nucleotide unclassified non-coding RNA is filed under the name soil metagenome. RNAcentral describes it as "partial contains 5.8S ribosomal RNA, internal transcribed spacer 2, and large subunit ribosomal RNA". The stretch from base 1 to 120 matches the Rfam family "5.8S ribosomal RNA", at positions 35 to 154 of the family's 154-position model. The record is from RNAcentral.
GAUGAAGAACGCAGCGAAAUGCGAUAAGUAAUGUGAAUUGCAGAAUUCAGUGAAUCAUCGAAUCUUUGAACGCACAUUGCGCCCCCCAGUAUUCUGGCGGGCAUGCCUGUUCGAGCGUCAUUUCAACCAUCAAGCCCUGCUUGUGUUGGGGUCCUGCGGCUGCCCGCAGGCCCUGAAAACCAGUGGCGGGCUCGCUAGUCACACCGAGCGCAGUAGCACAUCUCGCUCAGGGCGUGCGGCGGGCUCCAGCCGUUAAAGCACCCACCUUUCGCAAGGUUGACCUCGGAUCAGGUAGGAAUACCCGCUGAACUUAAGCAUAUCAAUAAGCGGAGG